RNAcentral lists this ribosomal RNA (253 nucleotides) under uncultured bacterium. RNAcentral's name for it is "partial 16S ribosomal RNA". It matches the Rfam family "Bacterial small subunit ribosomal RNA", at positions 524 to 776 of the family's 1533-position model. The record is from RNAcentral.
UACGUAGGUGGCAAGCGUUGUCCGGAUUUAUUGGGUUUAAAGGGUGCGUAGGCGGUUCCAUAAGUCAGUGGUGAAAUACGGUAGCUCAACUGUCGAGGUGCCAUUGAUACUGCGGAACUUGAGUACUGAUGAGGUAGGCGGAAUUGACGGUGUAGCGGUGAAAUGCUUAGAUAUCGUCAAGAACACCGAUAGCGAAGGCAGCUUACCAAGCAGUAACUGACGCUGAGGCACGAAAGUGCGGGGAUCAAACAGG